GUCUAUGGCCAUGCUACCCUGAACAAGCCCGAUCCCAUCUGAUCUUGGAAACUAAGCAGGGUCGAGCCUGGUUAGUACUUGGAUGGGAGACCACCUAGGAAGACCAGGUGCUGUAGGCG
Molecule: ribosomal RNA, 119 nt
Filed under: Pteropus alecto (black flying fox)
Lineage: Eukaryota; Metazoa; Chordata; Mammalia; Chiroptera; Pteropodidae
Source: RNAcentral